UACGUAGGUGGCAAGCGUUGUCCGGAAUUAUUGGGCGUAAAGAGCGCGCAGGCGGCUUGGUAAGUCGGAUGUGAAAUCCCGAGGCUCAACCUCGGGUCUGCAUCCGAUACUGCCCGGCUAGAGGUAGGUAGGGGAGAUCGGAAUUCCUGGUGUAGCGGUGAAAUGCGCAGAUAUCAGGAGGAACACCGGUGGCGAAGGCGGAUCUCUGGGCCUUACCUGACGCUCAGGCGCGAAAGCUAGGGGAGCGAACUGG
This 253-nucleotide ribosomal RNA is filed under the name uncultured bacterium. RNAcentral's name for it is "partial 16S ribosomal RNA". It matches the Rfam family "Bacterial small subunit ribosomal RNA", at positions 524 to 776 of the family's 1533-position model. The record is from RNAcentral.